This 841-nucleotide small RNA is filed under the name Pan troglodytes (chimpanzee). RNAcentral's name for it is "processed transcript". The record is from RNAcentral. Lineage: Eukaryota; Metazoa; Chordata; Mammalia; Primates; Hominidae.
AGAGCCGCAGGUCGGGGCUGCAGUAGAUCCCGGCAACCGCAGGCUCGCGGCGGGCGCUGGGCGCGGGAUCCGACUCUAGUCGUAAUGGAGGCGGGCGGCUUUCUGGACUCGCUCAUUUACGGAGCAUGCGUGGUCUUCACCCUUGGCAUGUUCUCCGCCGGCCUCUCGGACCUCAGGCACAUGCGAAUGACCCGGAGUGUGGACAACGUCCAGUUCCUGCCCUUUCUCACCACGGAAGUCAACGUGUUGUGCUCCUACAGACUGCAACCCUGCUAGGGGUCCUUCUCCUGGGUUAUGGCUACUUUUGGCUCCUGGUACCCAACCCUGAGGCCCGGCUUCAGCAGUUGGGCCUCUUCUGCAGUGUCUUCACCAUCAGCAUGUACCUCUCACCACUGGCUGACUUGGCUAAGGUGAUUCAAACUAAAUCAACCCAAUGUCUCUCCUACCCACUCACCAUUGCUACCCUUCUCACCUCUGCCUCCUGGUGCCUCUAUGGGUUUCGACUCAGAGAUCCCUAUAUCAUGGUAAGCACAACCAGGAUGGGGUGACAGGGUUGCAAGAUGGAAAACUGGCUCCUCUCCUCAUAGCAGUUCUUGUGAUUUCAGGUGUCCAACUUUCCAGGAAUCGUCACCAGCUUUAUCCGCUUCUGGCUUUUCUGGAAGUACCCCCAGGAGCAAGACAGGAACUACUGGCUCCUGCAAACCUGAGGCUGCUCAUCUGACCACUGGGCACCUUAGUGCCAACCUGAACCAAAGAGACCUCCUUGUUUCAGCUGGGCCUGCUGUCCAGCUUCCCAGGUGCAGUGGGUUGUGGGAACAAGAGAUGACUUUGAGGAUAAAGG